Molecule: long non-coding RNA, 1118 nt
Filed under: Homo sapiens (human)
Lineage: Eukaryota; Metazoa; Chordata; Mammalia; Primates; Hominidae
Description: novel transcript
Source: RNAcentral
AGCACUAGAUCUUGCAACAGAGAAAGUGCAAAGUGAUGUGGGCUUUUAAGACUAAUAACCUUUCUCAUGUCCUCUGUCUCUUUCUCCCCAGCUAGAGGAAAAGCCCUAAGAGAUCCUAGCCUGGAGAAUCAUGGAGCCAUGUCGUUAGGAGUUUGAGAUCAUUAUCACAGGAAAAAGAGAACAGCGAGGAGAAAAGGAUAAUAGAGGAAAAGAGCAGAAAGAAGCCAUUUAUAUCUGACUGCUGCUGUGGGAGUUACAGAAUCUCCUUCUUCAACUUGGGCCCUUUGCAGAUUCAGGCUGCCCCUGCUGAAUUUUAGAGAGCGUCAAAACUUAUUGGUUAAAGGGAUGCCUUUAUGAGUAAAACAUGAGAAAUAUUCACUUACUAGGUAAGCAAUUUGUAAGGACUGGAAGUAGAAAUUAAGCAACCAAGACAAGAAGGCUGUCCUAUCAGUUUCAAGAACAACUAAGAGGAUGUUAAAGGACAGCAGAGGGAGCCCCUGCAUGACUUAAGAAAACCGAAGGCAGGCAGAACAGAGACUUUUCAGGGUGCGAAGUUACGCAUGGUGCCCUCUACUGGAGUCACUGGUAAAGAGUUUUGAUUUCAAAAAGAAAUUGACGUAGAAUUUGUUCUUGUUCCAUUGUAUUGGUGAAGAAACUGAAGUUCAAAGUAAUUGGCAGAACAUACUACUUUGGGCAGUAUGGGAGUAGAGGCCUAUGGACGACCAGCAACAGGCUAGGGAUAAGAGUGGAGAUCUGAAUACAAGAAACUAGUAUUCAGGAUACGGGUCCUGGUUGUGAUUCUCUCCUAAUCCUUCGUGUGACUGGAGUUAUGUCGUGUGACUCUCAUAAACAAUGGGUUUUCCUUCUUUGUACGUAAUAGUUGGCAGAAGUGGUUACGUCCUUGCCACAAGGAAAAAGUCUCAUGAGAUGAUUAAUCUAAAACUUAUUUUAGAAAUAUAAAGGACUUUAUGAAUUCAAGGCAGUAUAUUAAGAAAAUAUCCCCUCAAACAAUGAACCAAUGAGACUGGCAAAGAUCUUGAUUUUCCUGAUUUUCAUUUAGAUUCUUAACAUUUGAGUCCAUUGAUAUAUUCGAAGCUCUACCCUUCUGGAAAAUAUCA